UCCCAGAAUGUUCUUCUGAAAGGUAGGAUAACGUUCUCUAAAAACAUUGUUAACAUUUUUGGUGAUAACUUUCUUAAGAUGUAUGAGCGCAUUGAGACAAUGAAUAGGACGUAUAAAAACGAAUUUAUGCAUGCCAAUAUUCAUUCACAUGCACUUAUAAUCACACUAAGGUAUGUAGGCCCACAGUAUUCAUAAUAUAAUAGUGUAAAAUAUCCGAAAAUAAUCACACUUUUUUCUGACUAUAAAGGUUGCGUCUCGUAUGUAGGUUCUAACUGUUAGAUAAGCUAUCUGGCCGUGUGUGGUUUGUGAGGGCUGCGUAUAAACAGUGUCUGCUGUUUAUGCAUAUUGGAUAAAAAUCGUUAUUGCACCCUUUAGAUUUGAGACCGACAGACAUAUAGAGUCCCCCCCCUGCCUGCUGGUCUGCUCGACACGGCUGGGAGCAAUCUCCAAUAAACUACACCUGCAACCUGCUCAUCAGCCACACUAUGAAAAUCUGCAGCCUGCACUUAUUCCCUGCCGGAUUGUUGCCGUGAACGGAGGAAUCCAAGGCCUUCCACACUCCCAAGACCAGCCAGGCCUCUCUACCCACCCUGGAACAACUGUUUCCCACUGCUGCCAUUACCAACCUCCACUCCCUGCUCCCCUUUUAUAAUAUACAAAUGUUACUUUCA
This is a long non-coding RNA of Notothenia coriiceps (black rockcod), 671 nucleotides long. RefSeq lists it as uncharacterized. The record is from RefSeq and is a predicted model, not a curated record. Lineage: Eukaryota; Metazoa; Chordata; Actinopteri; Perciformes; Nototheniidae. The transcript is spliced from 2 exons.